RNAcentral lists this ribosomal RNA (520 nucleotides) under uncultured bacterium. RNAcentral's name for it is "bacterial SSU rRNA". It matches the Rfam family "Bacterial small subunit ribosomal RNA", at positions 988 to 1509 of the family's 1533-position model. The record is from RNAcentral.
CCAGAGAACUUAGCAGAGAUGCUUUGGUGCCUCGGGAACUCUGAGACAGGUGCUGCAUGGCUGUCGUCAGCUCGUGUUGUGAAAUGUUGGGUUAAGUCCCGCAACGAGCGCAACCCUUAUCCUUUGUUGCCAGCGGCUCGGCCGGGAACUCAAAGGAGACUGCCGGUGAUAAACCGGAGGAAGGUGGGGAUGACGUCAAGUCAUCAUGGCCCUUACGGCCAGGGCUACACACGUGCUACAAUGGCGCAUACAAAGAGAAGCGACCUCGCGAGAGCAAGCGGACCUCACAAAGUGCGUCGUAGUCCGGAUUGGAGUCUGCAACUCGACUCCAUGAAGUCGGAAUCGCUAGUAAUCGUAGAUCAGAAUGCUACGGUGAAUACGUUCCCGGGCCUUGUACACACCGCCCGUCACACCAUGGGAGUGGGUUGCAAAAGAAGUAGGUAGCUUAACCUUCGGGAGGGCGCUUACCACUUUGUGAUUCAUGACUGGGGUGAAGUCGUAACAAGGUAAGCGUAGCGAG